This is a non-coding RNA of Lolium perenne, 913 nucleotides long. Lineage: Eukaryota; Viridiplantae; Streptophyta; Magnoliopsida; Poales; Poaceae. The record is from RefSeq and is a predicted model, not a curated record.
UCAGCAUCUAGGCAAGAAAGAAUACUGCUACUUGCAAUGAAAACUGUCCAUAUUUUCUAAGAGCAUCUCCAAUGGCUCCUCUAAACGGACGUGUAUGUCAAAUAUACACGAUGGAGGGCAGAAAAACGUCUCCAGCGGAACGUGUAUACGGGCGUGCAAAUUAUCCACGUCCAUCCACGAGGCUACUCGUCGUGGAAAUAAACACGACCAAGCCACGGUCGUGGAGACGCAAGAAACGAAGGCUGCUCUCUCCCGCCCCCGUCCGGAGCCGAGCGGAAGAAGACGCCCCAAGCUCACCGGCGGCCAAUCCCCUCCAGUAAGCUCUCUCCUACCCUCCUUUUUUUUCCAUGCCCGCCUGUAGAGAAGAGGCGCCGGCCGUCGGGCGGUCGCCGCACCGCUCGCCAGAUCUGGCAGCGGCGGCGCGAGCCAUGGAGAGGAAGGGCCGGUAGAGAGGGGCUGCGGCCGCCGGCCUGGGGAGGUUGGACGAGCUCCUGCCGCGGGCCUGUGCGGUGGCGGCGGCGGCCUGGGGCGCGAUGGAGGAGGGCGAUGGGGGCGACGGCCUGGGGCGCGACGGAAGAGGGAGAUGGCGCGGGGAUAGGGGAGGAGGGAGAUGGGCGCGGCGGCCUGGGGAGGAGGGGCUCGAGGCCGUGGGGGUGAACGCCAGGCUCGAGGGAGGAGGAAGAUGGGCGCUCGAGGGAAGGAGGAAGAUGCGGACGGAGCUGCUCGGGCCGGGUCGUUCGAUUUGGGGUUGGGUGGGAUGAUGCGUUUGUAUGCAUUGUGCUCAGAUAGAUAUAGAGUUGGUACCAGGCCCAUAUGAUUUUGCUCAUAUAGAGUUGGUACCAGAAUACAGAUUGCUACCAAAUUUCUAUGCAUUGUGUUCAGAUAUUUGUUGUUUCCUAUGUGAUUGUAUGUA